GACGAACGCUGGCGGCGUGCUUAACACAUGCAAGUCGAACGGAAAGGCCCUGCUUUUGUGGGGUGCUCGAGUGGCGAACGGGUGAGUAACACGUGAGUAACCUGCCCUUGACUUUGGGAUAACUUCAGGAAACUGGGGCUAAUACCGGAUAGGAGCUCCUGCUGCAUGGUGGGGGUUGGAAAGUUUCGGCGGUUGGGGAUGGACUCGCGGCUUAUCAGCUUGUUGGUGGGGUAGUGGCUUACCAAGGCUUUGACGGGUAGCCGGCCUGAGAGGGUGACCGGCCACAUUGGGACUGAGAUGCGGCCCAGACUCCUACGGGAGGCAGCAGUGGGGAAUAUUGCACAAUGGGCGGAAGCCUGAUGCAGCAACGCCGCGUGCGGGAUGACGGCCUUCGGGUUGGAAACCGCUUUCGCCUGUGACGAAGCGUGAGUGACGGUAAUGGGUAAAGAAGCACCGGCUAACUACGUG
RNAcentral lists this ribosomal RNA (468 nucleotides) under uncultured bacterium. RNAcentral's name for it is "partial 16S ribosomal RNA". It matches the Rfam family "Bacterial small subunit ribosomal RNA", at positions 28 to 507 of the family's 1533-position model. The record is from RNAcentral.